Molecule: non-coding RNA, 45 nt
Organism: Schistosoma margrebowiei
Lineage: Eukaryota; Metazoa; Platyhelminthes; Trematoda; Strigeidida; Schistosomatidae
Source: Rfam
AUCCAACUGACGAAUCCCAAAUAGGAUGAAACGUAAGUCCUGGCU